GAUGAACGCUAGCUACAGGCUUAACACAUGCAAGUCGAGGGGCAGCAUGUCGGUUGCUUGCAACCGACGAUGGCGACCGGCGCACGGGUGAGUAACGCGUAUCCAACCUACCCUUGUCCAUCGGAUAACCCGUCGAAAGGCGGCCUAACACGAUAUGCGGUUCACAGCAGGCAUCUAAGGUGAACGAAAUGCAAAGGAGAAGGAUGGGGAUGCGUCUGAUUAGCUUGUUGGCGGGGUAACGGCCCACCAAGGCUACGAUCAGUAGGGGUUCUGAGAGGAAGGUCCCCCACAUUGGAACUGAGACACGGUCCAA
Molecule: ribosomal RNA, 313 nt
Filed under: uncultured bacterium
Lineage: Bacteria
Description: bacterial SSU rRNA
Rfam family: Bacterial small subunit ribosomal RNA
Source: RNAcentral